UAUUUGUGAAUAUGCGCUGAGCUGAACUUCAUCCUGGUGCUGGCAUCGUCAUAUCAAAUACAGACCAGUAUUAUGUCGAAUACUGUACACAUUUGGCUUCAUCGCUUUCAUCUGAACAGCCUAAAAUGAAGAAACUUUAGAUGAAAAUAAUUUAUUCAAGUAUCAGGUGUCACACGGGAUUGAGUGGUGUCAGCCCUUUUUCUUUCAUGUCGGGACCGCAAUAGCGAUGAAAGGGGAAAAAAAAAAAGAUCUUCCAGUUCUGGGACGUACUACCUUUGAAGCUGCAGGCAGCCACAGCAAGCUGGCUGUGGUCUGCACAGCGUGCUAAUACCUACCCUCUGGAAAAGCAGGAAAGGUGGUUGCUGCAGCUGCUGCUAGAAACGUCAUCACCUUGUGAAUCCCAUUUGUACACUCUGUUUAGACUAAUUGUACAAAUUUAAGGGUAUUUGAAAUAUUUAAGGGUAUUUGGAAGCUAGUUGUGGAAACCUUUAUGUGCCUUUCCUAGAUACUGUGCCCAAGAAAUACUUGCCAUGGAAAAAAGUAACCAAGAGUAGAGUUCACAUUCUGCCUAUGCUUAACAUUAUAUUUAUCUACAAGAUUUUGCAUAAAGAUAGGCAGUCACACUCAGGAAUCUUAAAUCCUUUUCCUUUGAUUUUCCUGUGGCUGACAGUUCAGAAUUUUUGUGGACACAGGAUAUAAAUCAGCCUUAAAGGCAAAGUUUGUAUGCUGGUUUUAAGAAAUAUAUACAUAUAUUAUACAGCCAGCUUCUGCAGAGAUGCUACUUAUUCGGCAGUGUUUUGGUUUGAUGACAUAACACUUUUACCUAUAAUUAUUUGCAGGUAAUAAAUUGGAUAGAGGGGGUUAAAUUGCUUGUGAAUAAUUGAUAAAUAAGAGCUUAUUACGAUACAUCUGAUAAACCAAGGUAAAUUAUUUUUUUUGUCUCAGGCACACAUUAGUCUUCUAUGAACGCAGGCAUAAAAAAAUCUAAAUACUCCUCUGGGUUGUUUCAGAGCAAUGCAUGAACAUAUUUGACAACCCUGGACGCCACACAAUUAAGUCAUCAUCGGUAACUCCAAGACAAGAAGUAUGCUGCUGUUGUAGCCAAGAUACAGCUGAGGUGGUUUUAAAUUUUCUUGCCAUGACAUUUGUAAUAGUAGUUGUGAGGAGAUGCGUUUGUAAACAGUACAGAGCAGCUCCAGGGAGCAGAGACACCGCGAACCCUCUGUACGAUCGUUCCUCAGCACAGCACCACACAGCUACUGAGAGUUUCCUGUCCCGGCUUCUUGUACUUCUGAUAGUCAGUGCUGCUUUUUUUUUUUUUUUUUUUUUUUAUUCCUUUCAGUCGUGAUCUAAGGAACUGUUGUUAUAUCUGGAAUUGGAGUGACCAAAAUUGCAGACUUCACAGAAUCUCAUCAUUGCAAUCCUGACAGCUGCUUUUAAUUGCAGAUAAUGUGGCUGCAUUUUAAAAUAAAAAAUUAAGACAAGCAGUUACAUCACUGCAUUUACUGUAUCUUUUUGCCAGAUGAGGCAAUUUGGCUUUUUUAAUUUUAUACUGUCUAAGAAUGUCUUAGAAAGUUAGCAAAACAUAUGGAUAUGCAUAGAGCGACUCCAGAUUCCACCCAAGGAAAUUACAGCACUUACGCAGUCAGCAUUUAGUCACGUAUUUGCUUGCAGUCUGAACAGAGAUAGAAAGAAGGAAAGCAGUGAAAGGAAGCAGAUAAGCCUAGGAAGGAAGAGGACAGCACUGGAGGUCCAAAUCUCAUUAAGGGAAAAUCUGGCGUUUCCUUUUCCUUCCACUAGUUAAUAACGAGUGCUGCAAAUGUAUUUAGUGGAAGCUAAAAAUGCUACUGGUGUUUUGAGUUCAUCUUUAGCAACACAGCCAGGUUUUGAUUGUAUAGUACAGGUACACGAUAAAGACACACAGAGCUAAUACUUUAAAUCCAAGGAGAGUAGUCCUUAAAGUGUUUGUUUUGAUCCCCUUUGGGUUCAGCCCUCACUAAAGGUCUUCCACUUCCAUUCUGGUCCAAUUUCAACAAAACUUCAGGGACAUGGUUUGGUUCUAUUUCAGUUUUAAGGACAAAUACAUACAUGUAUUUUAUAUAUAUUUGAGCCAGUUUGGUGUCAAGUCAAUGCCCCACUAACUGCUCGAAUCUCAAAGCUAGCCAUGUAGAUUAAAAAAACAUUUCCUAGACUGCAAAUCAUAAUCAAUCUUGCACAUCAGUAUCCUCAGACUUUUAGUCUUAAAUCUUGUUCUGUCUGGUUCUGCAGGUUGAGGGGCCAUCAGUGGUCAUCAGGCCCCACUUUUAAGGACUGCUGAAUUCAGGGUCACAAGUCCAAAUCUGUGGGAAGCAAGCUAAGCAGUAUCUCUUCUGACAAUGCUAUUCACUUUUCAUGUAGGUUAUUCCAAGUCAUAAUCCCAGAUUUUUAUAUUUAUUCUGCACUUUUUAAAAGCUCACUUAAAAGUCACAAACCUUUCUAGAAACUGCACCAGAAUAAUCAGAUUUUUUAAAAAUGCUUUUGAGAGGAUCCUUUAUGCUAAUUAGAGUCAAGCUCUAUUUAAGCAUGUGUGUAAUUUGUUUUCUACAGACCAGUUUGUUUUCUGCUGAUAACAAGAGGCCAAAUGUGUUCCUAAAACUGGCACAGGCAGAUUUAAUGUAUUAGGAUUGGGCUGUUUUCAAUUGUCUGCAGGACAGCAUUCCAGCUUUAGGGACAAAAGAAAAAAUAGGAUCCUCUAGAUUUGUUUAUUAAAAGCACAUCUAAUUGCUUAAAUCUCUCACAAAGCCUCAGAAAUUAAGAAGGGAAAAGAGAAACAUAUCUUGUAUGCUUGCCUGUCAAUUUUAGAAGGAAGAGCGCAGCAAACAUUUCUGUAAGUGAUGCGUCUCAAAAACAGUGUUAAAAUGUAAAUCAGGGUGAGCCAAAGUAGGUGGCCUGAAGGCCAGAUGAGGGUCUUGCAAACCGUUGCUGUCCGCUGCUGUCCCAGGCAGUAACCUCUUCCCUUCCUUCCUCCCUCUUCUCUUCCUCCUCACCCUGGCCCCCAUUGCCCUCCCCUUUGCAGCCACGGGCCUCUGUAAUGCCAACAUCCGAAUCUCCUGUGCCAGUCACUGAAAACCUGGCUAAUGCCAAGGAAGGGAAGGAUUUGGUGCAGAAAGUUUCCCCAAACUGUAGACCAAAUCUUAGGCAUACUGUGCUGGAUGCUGGCAGGAUUUGAGGACACUAGGUGGUCAGUUGGGAAGGGGUCUCACUCUUCAGGUGGCUUUUGCUACUAGAAAAAUGAUUCCUUAUCCCUCCUAAAAAAAGAUGACAGGCAGGACUGAAGCACAUCACUGAAAAGGAUCAGCCCUUGGGCUGCUGUGUAAUUGUUCUGAUACUUUAUAACUUCCAUUCAUUUAAAUAAUAAAGACUUUACAUUCAAUGCAGACCAAAGAGAGGAAUUAAUAUAAAAUAUAGGUGACACGUCAUGAACUUCCUUAAAAGUAGUAUUUUAUUAAAAGGCACGUCCAGCACGUAGGUAAAAUAUAACACAGAAAGUUCUAAAGCAUCUCAAAACAUAGGGUUUAAAGUGACUCUGUAGUGUCUAUACAUUUACAUUUGUUUCCAUAAUAAAAAUAAGUGUUUAUUAGCAGUACUGCAAUGAAUUCUGAGUGCUUUUUACCAUGGUAAAAAUAAUCUCUAGCAAAAAGUUGAAUGAGAAAUAGUUAUACAAAGGAAGCAGGCAUCCACUGCAAAACUUGUGUAUACAUUUCAUUUUAAAAAAUCCAGUGAAUUGUAAAAAAAAGUGUAAUUAUUACUUGCAAAGCAUGACUCAGUAUUUCUCAGAAUUUGUAGUCCUUUAAAUAUAUGAAUUAAUGUAGUUCUCUAUUUUUAAGUUUAAUUCAAAGAUUCUUCGAGGAGACAGAUGAAAUACUGCAAGCCUCUUAUUAUUUAUUUAUUCCAGACUUAAUAAUUUUUUUAAAUGUAAAGCACCAUUUUAUUAAUAUGAGAACAAAGAAAAUUCACUAAUUAACCUGAAAAUCAAACAUUGGCAAAUAACUAAAACUAAAUAAAGAUUGAAGUCUGAAACCUUUUCACAAAAUCAACUUACUUUACUUGCAAAUUACAGCAUAUGAAAUGGUUUUCUAAUAUUUUAGAUAAAAGACUGGAAGGUUGCUUUUAUUUAGGGGGAGAAUAGCUAUUGCUUUUUGCAAUCUUCUGUUGCUUUCCCUGGAUUUGAACUGGACAAACUCAUCUACAAUACCUAUAUUUUGAAAGAUUCUUACUUUAAGGUUAGACUUCAGGAGCUAGCAGAGAUUCAGGGAAUGUUUUUACAGGUAGCCUCGCAAGAUAUUUGCCACUGCUUAAACCUUUCCCAUGCAUCCUGUUUUCAAAGAAAAAAUACCCUUCAAUUAAAAAUUCACUUCAUCUAUUUUGUUCCCUUUCAAAAUGAAACCUGCCUGCCUGCAGGCUAGUGAAGCAUCCUGCAGUAGGCACUGCAUCCUCUGUCAGGGGAGUUAAAAGAAACAGAUGAAUUUCCAGAAAGCUUCUCACAAGCAGCUUCCCUCACAGAAAACACGUCUGAAGCAUUCCAGCUCAGGAAGGAGCUGUGCCACAUCCACUGCCAUCUAGUUAGACAAGGAUCUCACUUUCCUAACUUACUUCCUUCUCUCUUUUUCGCAGUGCAGCCAGUCAAAGGUAUUGCCCCUAUUGCAGCUUAAGUUCCUAUCAAUGUUAUUUGUAGUAUAAGCCACUUUCUACACCAUGGUGAGAAAUUACAGAAUGUUGAGUCCCCCCCCCACUUUACAGAUGGAUAAAUUGCAGCUCAGUCUUUAAUGGUGCUCUUCCUACAGAAAAUCAACCAGCUCAAAAUCCCUCGAACAGUAAGAGUUGAUCAACAACUUAUUCUGCCCUCCAGAUGUGUCAAACAGGGUAAGAAAAAAGCAAAUGUGUUUAAAAAGGUGUCCAGAGCAAUCUCUCAAAUUUGGAGAUUCCUCCUGAGGCAGAGUGUGGGUACAGCGACUCGACCGAAAAGAUCCUAUUUCAGGGCUGCAACCUAAAGAGAUACACUUAAAUUGUAACAAAGCAUUUUAAAGGGGAUUUUCGCACUUUCAGCUACCACAUUUACUACUGUUUUUCAUAAAACCCUGUUAUCAAGCCUGAUCCAAAUAACUUCAAAAGAAGAAUUUGCACUGGGCUUUGAAUCUUUCCCCAUGUCUAACAUGCCUCUGCAUUUGCUAUUUGUUAACUCACGGUGUACCAAGUUGCAAACCUCAGCUAUGAAACAUCAGUUAUAGAACAGUUUGAUGGGAAUCAAAAGGAUUUACUUACAUAAACCCUGCCCUCCAGUGAAAGAGAAAUCAAGACAGAAGCAUUGAAUUUGUUUGUUUGGGGUUUUUUGAUGUAUUUUGUUCUUAGCAGCACUCACCACUAAACUUUUUCUGGAUAUUACCUGUUUGAAGUUUUUCCUACUAAAUACCAGCUCAUUUCUUAUGCUAAUAUAAAUGGCUUUUGCUCCAGCAUUAUAUUCCUCCUUAAUACCAUAAAAAGGAGUGGUAUUAUUUUGGUAUUUCAGUUCCUGGAAAAAUAAUGGCUCCAAUUCUGGAAGAAAACAAAAUGAAACACAGGUGCAAUCCCUUUUUAAAAAUAGAAUCUAAGUAGAAUAGAAUACACAGUUUAUCAGGCAGCUUAAUCUGCAUAAUUAUGGUGAUAUAUUUUUGUAUUUCUGUAGACUUUCUCAGAGGCAUUGGCUAAUUUAAAGCCCUGUAGAUAACCUGAUUAAUAAACACAGUUAAUCCCUCUCCUGUUUGGAGAGGGACAUACCCAGGACAUACUGAGUUUGCCAUAAGCUAAUUUUCUUUUUUCUCAAAAUUGAGCUAUCUAGCCAGACUUUGUCUAUGUGUGGAUUCAAACUGUACUGAUACUAGUUAUUCCAUAUCAGCUUUAAUCUCUACUAAUACACCUUUCAGCACUGUACUCAUCCAGGUGGUUAGUUAUUUGAUACACCUUGUGAGAAGUACCGCCUCUCACAGGAGCUGCUGGCUUUUCCAUGUCCUUUCCCUUCAGUCCCUUCUUAGACAUGAAAGCCAGACACAUAAUUCCCUCCUCAGAAAGCAGAAUAUUUUCUCAUCUUGCUCCUGGCAGCUAUGUUUCACCUAGCUUGUGCUCUCUAGGACAGGAGAUAAGGACCAGUGAUGGUCAGCACCUGAAUCAACUCUGCCUCUCCAUUCCAUUGACUGAUAUUCAGCCUUUUGUAGAAACAACCCAAUUUUAGCAAUAUUGUGGCAAAUGUUGCUGUCAACAGACCGUGGUGACAGUUAUGUGUCAGUGGAAUGUUCUUUCCAGGAAUUUUCAGUCAUGAUAAUGGCUUAGUAAAAUACUGAAACCUGCUGAAUCUAAUGCUAAUAGAGAAGUGCUUUUCAGGAGCUGGGCUGAGAUACCAAAGCUUGUCAACCCCACUGCCUAUGUGUAUACGGAGCCAAUCAGCUCUGACCUUUCAACUAACUUCUUUUUCUAUUUAGAAAUUCUUUGGUUUAGAUAGUAAAAGUUUCAUUAAUUUCUAUAUUUUUAAAAUUAAAUUUCUCCUUUCAACAAAGUUCUUUUACUGGUAUUGAGAAUUAGAACCCCUCAAACCAUUGUUUCUUCUAGCACUAAAUAUGAUUCUUAAAAUUAUUUUAAUGACUGCAAAGUUGGCAGAAAUUUUAUUUUACUUUAUUUUAAAUGACUCUUAGACAUGAUACCCAUGUCUAAAGAUAUCUCCUCCCAUUUCCAUUAUGUGUUUGGGUUUAAGGAGAGCAAAGCCCUCAUAUCAUUUGACUCGCUUUCCACUAGAGCCGAAGAUUAUAGCUAAAGGAAAAAUCAAUGGGAUUGUUAUCAGGAAUACAAGAAAAAGCUUUUCAAUAGAGCAUAUAAGUAAAUAAAGUUUUUUAAACAAUCUUUAACAAGGUAAUUUACCUGCAGGAACAUUUUACUAGAACAUGAGAGUUGGCUAAGGUACAGAAAUCCACACAACUACAGAACUCUGUCCUCCCUGUCAUAUGUAGACUCUGUUUUCUCAAGAUGAUGAGACUUAGUCUCAUUAUAGGAGUAAAUUCCUAAAUUCCUCAUUGUUGUAAGAUAUAAAAAAACCCCUUUGCCCCCUAUAUUCUGGUGAACAAUUUUUCCUUCUUGCUAAUAAUUUUAUAUUGUUUAUCUAGAAUGUGGCUACAUAAAAUAUAAUUAGGACAAUAAUUACAAGAUCAGAUUAAAAUAAAAUUACUUCUAAUGCAAUGAGCACAGCUGCUUGGUUACAUUCCCACUCUACCCAUUCAUCUUGUACUCAAACCAUUUUCUGUCUCCAGUGGUAAUACUACCAGCAGGAAGAUACCCAUACAACUAAAAUACUGCCCUAGUUUACACUUCUGCUAGGUUUAGUGCUAAACUAAAUACUAUCACCAAUUCAAUUUUCAUCAUUCAUGUUAAUUUUGGUUGUUUUUUUAAAGCAUAACCUUUUUGGACUGUGGGAUUCUCAGAUUUCCUUUAAGUAAAGUGAUGUUCUAACACUCCAGGUAUAAACUUAAAAAUCUGAAACUCCAAGACUCAAAAAAGAAAAACCAAACCAACACAUGGAGUGAAAAAAGGCUUAGGAUUAAAGUCCUUAUCAUGAUUUUUGGUUGACUCAUGGGCAUUGAACCUGAACUGGCUUUGCUGCACACUCUGUACUAGCAAUUCAAGAGGAUAUAUAUCAGUUAGAAGUAAUUCUUAUAAUCUGAAAGGCCCACAAUUUAAAAGCUAGUGCUGCAAACCAGCUACAACAUCCAUAGGGUAAAGAAAAAAAAAGGCACUGAAACUUUUUUUAAAUCUUUGAACAACAUGUCUGAAAAUUUUAUGUCUGAAAAUUCACAAAGUCUUCAUGCAAGAUCUUUGUACUGCUGAAAUUUAAUCAUGUUCUAUCAUCAGAUUUUUUGUACCAGAACAAGUCAUUCCUCUGUGCUGCAUUAGAAAGAAGCCAAGCUUUCUGCAAGCUAUACUGUGGUUUAGUUUUACUAGUGCAAUGCAUCAACCCUAGGACUGGCAUCCUAAUGAGGACAAGAACUGUGCUUUCAUACAAAGAGGACUAGUUCCCCCUCCAGUCUGUUUAAAAUAUUGUUCACAGCUGUGAGCACGCUAUAGUUACAGGAACCUUCUUUUCCUCACAGGAACUAAUGGAAAUGAUACAAAGUCUAGGUCAAUAUGCUCAAUGUUUGGUGACUUGAUUCCACAUCACAGUAACUUGAUUAGUUACAAGAAUCACCACCUUUCACUUUGCCAGCACUCCUUGUUCUCAGCCUGCCAUUUGCCCUUGUGCUUUGGAGAACUGUUAUUAAAAAACCCAGCAAGCUUCCCUGCAUCUGCCCCAUGUUGUUCCUCAGGGCUCGGCUCUGCUGUGGGCUACACUUGGCCUGUGACGGCUCACAUAGUCUGCCACCAGAAAGCCACAAAUCAUGUCUUAUAUUUGCAACAUAGCACUCUCAUUGCACCCCAAAGCUCUUAUCUUCUCAGUCUGCUUGCUCCAGCACUGGUAUUCAUGAUGUUAAACCCCCAGGGAUUUAUUUUAAAGGUCCUUAGUAGAAUGUGUUGAGACCCCAAGCAUGUCACCCUGGCUGAAAAGGCACAGUAGUAGAAUGUUAACACAGCAGCAGAUUAGAGGGUUUGUCACUGUGAUAGAAGUUAUUCCAUAUAGCAGUUCUCUCACCACAGGGUAGAGCUAGACAAAAACUGUAAGAAAAGAUUCAUCAGAAUGAAAAGUGUUCCCAGGAACACACUUUUUUGACAGGCUCUGCUCACAGGAAAAGCUGCUCAGCCUGAGGGUGGCAGAUCUUAGCAAGACUGAUGACAAGAACUGUGCAAUUGUGACACAGACCUAGAAUACAAGAGCUCUCUGGGCAUGGGAACCAAAAGAUGACCACCAUAUAAUGUGAAAAACUUCCAAAUACAUCUUGGCAAGACAUGGGGAAAAUUUUACAUAACAAAAUAUUUUGGUUUGUUUUUUAGAAGAAAACUCCUCCCAUUUCUAUACUAAAGCUUGAGUUUAAAAUAGGGACAGAAGAUUUGAGCCAUGGAGGAGGAGAAACCCACCUUUUCCACAGAAAGAACAAGAACAUAUCAAGUAUCUGUCAUAUCAAGGAACCAUCCACCCUGCCUCACGUUCUUGGUGCCUUCUAUUUCUCAAUGGCUCUGCUACUCAUUUCUGCCAGCAUGUUACAGACAAAACUGAGUAUGUAAAACUGAGAGUAGAUGCAACAAAUAAGCUGGUCAGGGCCCCAGAGUUUAUGAGAAGGGAGAGAACAUCUUGAAAGUACAACAGAGCAGUUAAGUCACAAGGAAAACAAGAUUAUUUUAUGUUGUUUCUAUUUUAGCCUGGGCAAAGCUAGAUUACAGCAUGUCUUGACAACCCUCCUUGUUCAAGCACAGGUCUUUGCUUUAAUCAACAAAUAAGCUAGGGAAAGAAUUAAAACUUUUAAUUUGUUGACUAAGUGAGUCUAAGUCCUUGUUUCUCUCUUUACUGCUUUCCUAUUUUUCUCAUCCUGUGUAUUUCUUCUAUUAAAUACUUUACCUUUGGGCUGAAGAAUGGUUACUGAGGGUCUUAGUCCCCUCUUCCUGUUUGGAAGACUACUGAAACAGAAAAAGCAAUAUCCUGUGCUAAUACCCAACUACAGGAAUUCAGCAGGCAGCCUCUAAGCCACUAAUCUGAAUGUAAUCCAGCUAUACUUUUGAGCAGCACCACAAAGGCAAAGCAGGGUUAUUCAUCCUCACUGAUACAUGUGCAUUUAUCUGAGUAUUAGCUGGGAAAUUAUAUAAGUUCCUAAAUAAGAGUACUCUUUCCUGAAUAGUAGCAAAUCCAUACAUACAAAGAUUGGGAGAUUGUUGUGCACUUUGAUUUACUUUAUUGAGUAAUCAUCUGAUAGCUACAAUGGUGAAUUGGAAGUUAAAAAAUAAAAUAAAAUAAAAUAAAAUAAAAUAAAAUAAAAUAAAAUA
Long non-coding RNA from Motacilla alba alba, 9966 nucleotides. RefSeq lists it as uncharacterized. NCBI's taxonomy places the organism in Eukaryota, Metazoa, Chordata, Aves, Passeriformes, Motacillidae. The transcript has 2 exons. The record is from RefSeq and is a predicted model, not a curated record.